This 45-nucleotide small RNA is filed under the name bovine gut metagenome. RNAcentral describes it as "DUF3800-XI RNA". It matches the Rfam family "DUF3800-XI RNA". Rfam says of the family: Actinobacteria, Firmicutes, Proteobacteria, Spirochaetes (1 example). The record is from RNAcentral.
GGGCUGGUCGAAAGACCCUGGUCCACUGUAGGCGGGGAAACCCCC